RNAcentral lists this ribosomal RNA (445 nucleotides) under uncultured bacterium. RNAcentral's name for it is "partial 16S ribosomal RNA". It matches the Rfam family "Bacterial small subunit ribosomal RNA", at positions 354 to 796 of the family's 1533-position model. The record is from RNAcentral.
GUGAGGAAUAUUGGUCAAUGGACGAGAGUCUGAACCAGCCAAGUCGCGUGAAGGAAGACGGUUCUAUGAAUUGUAAACUUCUUUUGUGCAGGAAUAAAGUGGGUUACGUGUAACCUUUUGUAUGUACUGUACGAAUAAGGAUCGGCUAACUCCGUGCCAGCAGCCGCGGUAAUACGGAGGAUCCGAGCGUUAUCCGGAUUUAUUGGGUUUAAAGGGUGCGUAGGUGGAUUGAUAAGUCAGCGGUGAAAGUUUGAAGCUUAACUGUAAAAUUGCCGUUGAAACUGUCGGUCUUGAGUGCAAAUGAGGUAGGCGGAAUGUGUUGUGUAGCGGUGAAAUGCUUAGAUAUAACACAGAACUCCGAUUGCGAAGGCAGCUUACUGGGAUGCAACUGACACUGAUGCACGAAAGCGUGGGUAUCAAACAGGAUUAGAUACCCGAGUAGUCC